Molecule: ribosomal RNA, 254 nt
Filed under: uncultured bacterium
Lineage: Bacteria
Description: partial 16S ribosomal RNA
Rfam family: Bacterial small subunit ribosomal RNA
Source: RNAcentral
UACGUAGGGUGCGAGCGUUGUCCGGAAUUAUUGGGCGUAAAGAGCUCGUAGGCGGUCUGUCGCGUCGGUCGUGAAAACUUGGGGCUUAACCCUGAGCUUGCGGUCGAUACGGGCAUGACUGGAGUUCGGUAGGGGAGACUGGAAUUCCUGGUGUAGCGGUGAAAUGCGCAGAUAUCAGGAGGAACACCGGUGGCGAAGGCGGCGUUCUGGACUGCAACUGACACUGAAAAACGAAAGCCAGGGGAGCAAACGGG